CCUACGGGAGGCAGCAGUGAGGAAUAUUGGUCAAUGGACGCGAGUCUGAACCAGCCAAGUAGCGUGAAGGAUGACUGCCCUAUGGGUUGUAAACUUCUUUUAUAUGGGAAUAAACUGUUCCACGUGUGGGAUUUUGUAUGUACCAUAUGAAUAAGGAUCGGCUAACUCCGUGCCAGCAGCCGCGGUAAUACGGAGGAUCCGAGCGUUAUCCGGAUUUAUUGGGGUUAAAGGGAGCGUAGGUGGAUUGUUAAGUGAGUUGUGAAAGUUUGGGGCUCAACCGUAAAAUUGCAGUUGAAACUGGCAGUCUAGAGUACAGUAGAGGUGGGCGGAAUUCGUGGUGUAGCGGUGAAAUGCUUAGAGAUCACGAAGAACUCCGAUUGCGAAGGCAGUUCACUGGACUUCAACUGACACUGAGGCUCGAAAGUGUGGGUAUCAAACAGGAUUAGAUACCCCUGUAGUC
RNAcentral lists this ribosomal RNA (460 nucleotides) under uncultured bacterium. RNAcentral describes it as "partial 16S ribosomal RNA". It matches the Rfam family "Bacterial small subunit ribosomal RNA", at positions 338 to 795 of the family's 1533-position model. The record is from RNAcentral.